CUGAUAUUGUAAUAUCUGUUUUUCAAAACUUCAUCAUUUUUUAGAGUUAAUUAUUUUUUUUAAAAAAGAGUAUUAUUAUUUUUAGAGCAGUUUUAGGUUCAUAGCAAAAUUAAGAGGAGGGUACAGAGAUCUUCCAUACACUCUCUGACCCCACGCAUGCAUAGCCUUCCUGAUUAUCAACAUCCUCAACCAGAGUAGUCAUUUAUCACAGUUGAUAGUUCCGCUAACACAUCAUAAUCACCCAAAAUCUGUAGUAUAUUAAAGUUCAUUCUUGGUGUUGUACAUUGUGUGGGUUUGGACCAAUAAUUUCUGUUUUAAAUAUCAAAAUAUGCUAAAAAAUCAGAAGACUUAUUUGGUGCUUAUUAUGAACAGAAAUAAUUCAGGAUUGAUGUAUUUCAAGUUGACAUGAGUUAAAUUCUCUUUUGAAGUUCUUAAUAUUUUUAAGGCAGUUAUUUCACUCGGACAAUACCUGCACAUUAGCUUUGAAUUUGAUGAGAAUUGCUCUUCCAUAUUGUUUCCACUGUUCUGUAUGUUUCCAUUGAAACAUUUGUGAACAUUUGUAGAACAGUUGAAGUUCCUCACCCAUUGGUAGGUAGGAAUUUUAUAGGAAUUUAAUUUUAUAGGAUCCUAUCUUUAAAAAGCAGGCAUUCUUUUGUGUUUAAAUUCUCCCUCUUGUGCUUAGUACAUACAGAACACUGUGGAUGUUUUGUUUACCCACUAUCCUAACUGCAGAGGACGUUGGCAGCUUUAGAUAGUCUAUGUAAAAGGCGCUUAGAAACAGCAAUUUGAUUAGAAGACAUUGCUACCUUUAUAUAGCAAUCAUGUUGUUUUUAUUUUUUAUAUUUAGAUGGGGAGGGGACUGGCAAAAUUUUGGAGGAGGCAUUUAAAGGUUGAGGAGCCACCUCAGCCUUUAACCAGAAGACUGCCAAGCCUCUUCUCGCUGGAGCUGCUGGCUGCGUAUCCAAUGUCCUGAUUGGCUAAGCCCAGUCGCUAAAAGAGCAACCUUCGGGCUCUUACGGACUCCCACGGCGUCCUUAGCAACGAGCCUCCUUCCCCGGCGACCUCGAGAACCUUGGUGAGUCCUGCUUCCGAGGGUUUGAGAGCUCAUGCUGCCACGUUCACCAUGGGGGCGGCCGGG
RNAcentral lists this long non-coding RNA (1138 nucleotides) under Ailuropoda melanoleuca (giant panda). Its description in RNAcentral is "lncRNA (ENSAMEG00000028394.1)". The record is from RNAcentral. Lineage: Eukaryota; Metazoa; Chordata; Mammalia; Carnivora; Ursidae.